RNAcentral lists this long non-coding RNA (208 nucleotides) under Musa acuminata (dwarf banana). Its description in RNAcentral is "long non-coding RNA (MACU_LNC010599)". Lineage: Eukaryota; Viridiplantae; Streptophyta; Magnoliopsida; Zingiberales; Musaceae. The record is from RNAcentral.
GUCACUAGCUAACCUAAGGUUGGUGCCACUUAUCUUUUCUCUAAAGAUGACACCUAGCCCCUUUCAUGCAUGCAUGACACCUUGCAACUUUUGUAUUAGCCAAAACCUAAAUAAUUAGAUGAAAGGUUAAAGAAAACAAACCUGAAGAGUUGCAGCCAACGUGAGUUUGAGAGAAGAAGAAGAAGAAGAAGAAGAAGAAGAAGAAGAG